GAAUAUUGGACAAUGGGGGGAACCCUGAUCCAGCCAUGCCGCGUGUGUGAAGAAGGCCUUUUGGUUGUAAAGCACUUUAAGCGAGGAGGAGGAGCUCUUGGUUAAUACCCAAGAUGCUUGGAAGUUACUCGACGAAUAAGCACCGGCUCCAGCUUUGCCAGCACGCGCGGUAAGACAGAGGGUGCAAGCGUUAAUCGGAUUUACUGGGCGUAAAUCGCUCGUGUGUGGCCAAUUAAGUCAAAUGUGAAAUCCCCGAGCUUAACUUGUGAAUUGCAUUCGAUACUGGUUGGCUAGAGUAUGGGAGAGGAUGGUAGAAUUCCAGGUGUAGCGGUGAAAUGCGUAGAGAUCUGGAGGAAUACCGAUGGCGAAGGCAGCCAUCUGGCCUAAUACUGACACUGAGGUGCGAAAGCAUGGGGAGCAAACA
Molecule: ribosomal RNA, 424 nt
Filed under: uncultured bacterium
Lineage: Bacteria
Description: partial 16S ribosomal RNA
Rfam family: Bacterial small subunit ribosomal RNA
Source: RNAcentral